CGAGCGAAGACUUCGGUCUUAGCGGCGGACGGGUGAGUAACGCGUGGGAACGUGCCCUUCUCUACGGAAUAGUCCCGGGAAACUGGGUUUAAUACCGUAUACGCCCUUCGGGGGAAAGAUUUAUCGGAGAAGGAUCGGCCCGCGUCUGAUUAGAUAGUUGGUGGGGUAAUGGCCUACCAAGUCGACGAUCAGUAGCUGGUUUUAGAGGAUGAUCAGCCACACUGGGACUGAGACACGGCCCAGACUCCUACGGGAGGCAGCAGUGGGGAAUCUUAGACAAUGGGCGCAAGCCUGAUCUAGCCAUGCCGCGUGAGUGAUGAAGGCCUUAGGGUCGUAAAGCUCUUUCGCUGGGGAAGAUAAUGACGGUACCCAGUAAAGAAACCCCGGCUAACUCCGUGCCAGCAGCCGCGGUAAUACGGAGGGGGUUAGCGUUGUUCGGAAUUACUGGGCGUAAAGCGCGCGUAGGCGGACAUUUAAGUCAGGGGUGAAAUCCCGGGGCUCAACCCCGGAACUGCCCUUGAUACUGGGUGUCUUGAGUUCGAGAGAGGUGAGUGGAAUUCCGAGUGUAGAGGUGAAAUUCGUAGAUAUUCGGAGGAACACC
Molecule: ribosomal RNA, 601 nt
Filed under: Palleronia aestuarii
Lineage: Bacteria; Pseudomonadati; Pseudomonadota; Alphaproteobacteria; Rhodobacterales; Roseobacteraceae
Description: bacterial SSU rRNA
Rfam family: Bacterial small subunit ribosomal RNA
Source: RNAcentral